This 121-nucleotide ribosomal RNA is filed under the name Eptatretus burgeri (inshore hagfish). Lineage: Eukaryota; Metazoa; Chordata; Myxini; Myxiniformes; Myxinidae. The record is from RNAcentral.
GGCCACAAGAAACUGCGAAUAAUUGGGGUGGAAGUAGUAGUCGUAGUGGUAGUGGUGCUAUGUCAGUACCUGUUCAGUACCUGGAUGGGAAACUGCCUGGGAACACCGGGUGUUGUUGGCU